AUGGUCAAAAUACCAAUUGCAUUUCAAGUUACAUUCCCCUUGCAUUCAAACACAAUUAUAUCAUCUAAAAAACCCUACAUCAAGUCAAUAAGUUACAAUAAGCCUAUUCCUAAGUUUCUUCAUCUUUGUCAUUUCAUUCCAUCUUUUGUGUCCUUCUCUAAGCUUCUAAACAAGAUCACAAUUGUCCUGCUAAAAAUAAACCUAAACCUACUACAUACCCAACCAUAA
Non-coding RNA from Vicia faba (fava bean), 228 nucleotides. The record is from the annotation of a GenBank genome assembly. Lineage: Eukaryota; Viridiplantae; Streptophyta; Magnoliopsida; Fabales; Fabaceae.